Molecule: unclassified non-coding RNA, 247 nt
Filed under: Borreliella sp. SCW-31
Lineage: Bacteria; Pseudomonadati; Spirochaetota; Spirochaetia; Spirochaetales; Borreliaceae
Description: Borrelia sp. SCW-31 partial 5S-23S ribosomal RNA intergenic spacer
Source: RNAcentral
CUGCGAGUUCGCGGGAGAGUAGGUUAUUGCUACGAUUCGCGGGAGAGUAGGUUAUUGCCAGGGUUUUUAUUUAUACUUUAAAUUUGAUUUAUUUUAUGUUAUUUAAAUAACACAAAAAAUAAAUAUAUAUUGACAUGGAUUAAACAAAGAUAUAUAUUAUUUUAUGUUGCAUAAACAAAUUGGCAAAAUAGAGAUGGAAGAUAAAAAUAUGGUCAAAGUAAUAAGAGUCUAUGGUGAAUGCCUAGGA